This 254-nucleotide ribosomal RNA is filed under the name uncultured bacterium. RNAcentral describes it as "partial 16S ribosomal RNA". It matches the Rfam family "Bacterial small subunit ribosomal RNA", at positions 524 to 776 of the family's 1533-position model. The record is from RNAcentral.
UACGUAGGGUGCGAGCGUUAAUCGGAAUUACUGGGCGUAAAGCGUGUGCAGGCGGCGCGUUAAGACAGGUGUGAAAGCCCCCGAGCUUAACUUGGGAAUUGCGCUUGUGACUGGCGUGCUGGAGUGUGGCAGAGGGAGGUGGAAUUCCACGUGUAGCAGUGAAAUGCGUAGAGAUGUGGAGGAACGCCGAUGGCGAAGGCGACUUACUGGACACAUAUUGACGCUGAGGUGCGAAAGCGUGGGGAGCAAACAGG